This 1768-nucleotide long non-coding RNA is filed under the name Mytilus galloprovincialis (Mediterranean mussel). The record is from RNAcentral. Lineage: Eukaryota; Metazoa; Mollusca; Bivalvia; Mytilida; Mytilidae.
GUGGAGAGCACAUGCAAAGACUGAAUGAGAAAUUGGUCCCAUGAAUGGAUUAUUCGUUUUCAUUUUUAUAAUUAUUUAAUUUUUACAAGUGUGAGUAAUUAGAUGCAACAUUGUCCUAAGAUUUGCAGAUUAUAAUCAUGUUUACCAUGCGUCAUUGUAUAUUUCUACAUAAAUUAGAUGCACGACGAGUUUAAUUUGUUUUUAGUUUAAUUUUUUUUAUAUAUUACUUUUUUCCCAUAUCUUAUACUAUUGAAAUUGAGUAUUGACAGAUCGUCUACUGCCUAUGGGUAAGCCUAACAAAUUGUAUUUUGCGCUGUAACAGAUCAUGCAGGUUAGUAACGUGUCUUUAAUGAUUAUGUGUUGUGGGGCAGGUGUUAUUUAAUGAACUCCCGAAAACUUCCGAAUUAAAAGUAAAUUUUCCUUAAGAGGGUAUACAUCGGUAAUUGUGUAUCUAGAUCUUUUAUAGCACAUAUACAGCAAAUAUUCCAUGAAAGGAUAUGAACGUAAAAGGGACGUACUCUUUGGGGCGAAGGACCCAGGUUCGUAACCGGAAGUUCAACUUUCGAUACAAAUAAACAAAAAUCUUGGAAAUCUUGAACAGAGACAAUACCCGGAGUUAAGAAGCAGUAGCCAAAAGAAAUCAUUGCUAAAUGUUAGCUUGCUGGUGGAUUUAAGCAAAUAUUAUCAUUAUCUGUAUAUAUCCGGCUAUAAAUUUUGCGUGUACCUACACAUUUGUGUACUAAAAAUUGUCCAGAGUCGUUCAUCACAGUGUCAUGUAUACAUUUUUUAGUUGCUACUACUCUCUAGCCUAGACUAGGUCGAUAUGGUAUGAAUAGUUCAGUUAAAUCAAGAAUUUAGCCAUAUGUAAACAGGCCACAGCUUGAAUUAUUGUUGUAAUAACUCAAUUAUAUACUAAUAUUACACUAUGUUACUAUCAACUGACUAUGGAUUUAAGUUUAAUAAAUAUAUAAAUCUGUAUACAUUGUGUAUAUACUAAUUUUGAAUUAUUUUUUUUUUAAAUUAUUGUAACUAUUAUCGACACAACUACAUGUAUGAGUAUACAUAAUUUUUAAUUGUUAUUGUUUCUUUGUACAGUCAUUUGGUUUUCUUAUGUCAAUGCUAUGUAGAAUGGUGGAACUAAUAUUUACUUUUUGUUGAGUUGUAGCACAAUGUUGGGUAGAUCAGUUAGAGACCUUGCUCGGCCACAGAACACGGCCAAGGGUUGUAACAGUUGGACCAGAGACUUGGACAACAAGGACACACUAGUUUUUACAGAUGGGUUACCAGACUGGACUGGAUUCACGACUCAUCACGCCACUAACUCAACUCCUUUGGUCACCUACAUUUGUACAUUGAAUCAUCAUCAGAUGUUAUUUAUGCCAACCCCUAGAGCUUUGCAUUGGUAUGAUCCAGUUGAGAAUUUUUCAGGUAAUCGUCAGAUUUACUAGUUAAAAGCAGUAUAUUACUUUUAAGUUAAACCCCCGCAUGUACAAAAUGUACAUGUGAUUACAACAUAUAACAAACAUAUUUAUAUAGAUUAAGACAACUUUUUCUAAUCUUAUGGGUUAGAUUGAAAAGAUUUGUGUAACGUUUAUAUCUCAGUUUCUAAACUUAAAAUUGCUGAAUGUGUUACUUUUACAAAUUUAUAUGGCCUUACAAUGAUGGGAUGCCGCAUCAUGUGUUUGAAAUAAAAAACUUUCGUAAAUAUGAGGUUACAUUCUAUAUAAUUGUUAUAUAAUAUAUUAAAUGAAUUUUGAAUGGAGGACGC